AGAGUUUGAUCCUGGCUCAGAAUGAACGUUGGCGGCGUGGAUUAGGCAUGCAAGUCGAGCGAGAAGCCUCCUUCGGGAGGUGGACAGCGGCGAAAGGGUGAGUAACGCGUAGAUACCAACCUUGAGGUUCGGAAUAGCGGGGGGAAACCGCCGGUAAUGCCGAAUAACAUCUCCGGAUCAAAGCUCCGGCGCCUCAAGACGGGUCUGCGUCCUAUUAGCUAGUUGGUGGGGUAAUGGCCUACCAAGGCGACAAUGGGUAGCGGGCGUGAGAGCGUGGCCCGUCACACUGGGACUGAGACACUGCCCAGACACCUACGGGUGGCUGCAGUCGAGAAUCUUUGUCAAUGGACGAAAGUCUGAACAAGCGACGCCGCGUGCGGGAUGAAGGCCUUCGGGUUGUAAACCGCUGUCAGAGGUUAGGAAAUUUUGACCGACCCUCAGAGGAAGUCCGGCUAAGUU
This 459-nucleotide ribosomal RNA is filed under the name uncultured bacterium. RNAcentral's name for it is "bacterial SSU rRNA". It matches the Rfam family "Bacterial small subunit ribosomal RNA", at positions 8 to 503 of the family's 1533-position model. The record is from RNAcentral.